RNAcentral lists this ribosomal RNA (253 nucleotides) under uncultured bacterium. RNAcentral describes it as "partial 16S ribosomal RNA". It matches the Rfam family "Bacterial small subunit ribosomal RNA", at positions 524 to 776 of the family's 1533-position model. The record is from RNAcentral.
AACGAAGGGGGCUAGCGUUGUUCGGAAUUACUGGGCGUAAAGAGCGCGUAGGCGGCUUUAUAAGUUAGGUGUGAAAGCCCCGUGCUUAACCUUGGAACAGCACUUAAUACUGUAAAGCUAGAGUGUGAUAGAGGAUGAUGAAAUUCCUAGUGUAGAAGUGAAAUUCGUAGAUAUUAGGAGGAACACCAGUGGCGAAGGCGGUCAUCUGGGUCACAACUGACGCUAAGGCGCGAAAGCGUGGGGAGCAAACAGG